This 363-nucleotide long non-coding RNA is filed under the name Hordeum vulgare. RNAcentral describes it as "long non-coding RNA (HVUL_LNC018487)". Lineage: Eukaryota; Viridiplantae; Streptophyta; Magnoliopsida; Poales; Poaceae. The record is from RNAcentral.
CUCUCUCUCUCUACAUCUCCCCACAAAUCUUUCUUCGGCUCCUUGGUCCUGUACACACCCACCCAAGGCCAAGGGGUUUGAGGUGGUCGUAGAGUAGAGUAGAGAAGAGAAGAGAAGAAGGUCCUCCUUCGGCUUCAAUCCCAGCCCAGGUAUAGACCUCCCCUGAUCCUAUUUUUAAUCUCUUCUUGUGUAGGCUCGCUCGCAUUGCCCCUCCUUUUGUCCCCACCUUCGCUUUUGUGUUGUUUAAUGGUGGCAAUUGAUGCGGUUGGAUGAGAGGUUUCCUCGAGCCAAAGGAGAGAGACAAAGUGCUGCGUUUCAGAGAGAGAAAGAGUCGGGUUCCGGAGCUGUUCUUCGUCCCGAGAG